CUUCGCUGUCCACAGUGUCUGCGUGUCCCUCCCCCGGGGGUGUUCCACUGCUCACUGUAUUUCCUAUUGAAAAUGUCCUGGACCUGCUCCCUCAGUGUGUGGGUGAUGUGGAUCUGGGAGAGCCUCAUGUUGUAACUUUCUGCAAAGCAUAAAACAACUAUGGGUUUGGGCUGUUCAGUGAAAAGGCACUUAGGGAAUUUUAAAGAAUAUGAUUUUCUAAUUAUGGGAAACUCCUUCUCUGGCAAUUAAUGGAUCUUUAGAGUGGGCCCCUCAGGUCCUUCAGCACCAAGGUGUUGAUGGAGACAUGUUUUUUCCAGAAGGACAUGCACUGUCGUCACAACGGUGAUGAGCUGGAAAUUAAUUGCUGACAUUUGAAAACCACCAAACCAAUACAUAAGUCCCAGAGACAGAAUUUUGCUCUUGCCACCCAGGCUGAAGUGCAGUGGCACUCGGCUCAGUGCAACCUCUGCCUCCCAGAUUCAAGCAAUUCUCCUGCCUCAGUCUCCACAGUAGCUGGAACUACCGCCUCCCAGAUUCAAGCAAUUCUCCUGCCUCAGUCUCUGCAGUAGCUGGAACUACAGGGAACAUGACAUCCUCUUCCCAGGGUACACCCACCUGCAGAGGGCCCAACCCCAUCACUGGAGCCACUGGAUUCUGAGACUUGAGUGCAAUGGCACGAUCUCAGCUCACUGCAACCUUCACCUCCGAGGUUCCAGUAAUUCUCCUGGCUCAGCCUCCCAAGUAGCUGGGAUUACAGCUGAGUUCCUGUUCUAGGCUUCAUUCUGCAUGACCCAUCUCAGCAGGAUGGCCAGGGACCUCAUCCUCUGUGGCACCAAGGAAUUCAGCUUCAUGUAGCUCUCAGAUGCCUACAGCACCAGAAGCAGCCUGAUGCCCCAGAAGAAAAACCCCGACAGCUUGGAGCUGAUCUGGAGCAAAGCAAGGGUGUGUGUUUGGGCAGGGCACUGGAAAAGGCAAUGCACCUGACCUCUGGGGAAGCUGAUCUGAGAGGCACGCGGGACGUCUUGGUGUGGGGAAUCUGUGUGGAGAUGCGUCUGGAGACAGUGAGUCAUACUUCCUGACCUUAUAACCAUGCAGCUCAGCAGUCUCUGUGAGAGUCGGCUCCCUGCAAUUUGUGUUCCAGGAUCCAUGGAGCACGUAACACAUCCUGAUGCUGUUCUCAGCCUUCUAUGGCCUCUUGGUCACCGUUUCCUACCAUCUGAGCUGGCAGAGCAGUGACCCAUCUGUGUUCAUGUCCUUCAUUCAAUGCAGACUGUUUCCUAAGUUUUUACAUCAAAAUCUGGAAGAGUCAGCUGCUGAUCCUCUCCCCAAGAAGAUGAAAGAUUCUGUGAUGACUAUUCCGUUGUUCCAGCACAUUUCAUAAAAAGGGUACUCCUCCAGUAUCCUCCAACAUCCUCCUCCAGGUUGGGAGCUCUUCAUUUGUCCCAACAUCCUUAACACAUUUAUUUAGCACAUAGAGGUGCUGUUCUAGGAACUUGGAGUACACAUGUGAUCAAGAUAGACUCCAGCCUAC
Callithrix jacchus (white-tufted-ear marmoset) is the source of this 1531-nucleotide long non-coding RNA. RefSeq lists it as uncharacterized. NCBI's taxonomy places the organism in Eukaryota, Metazoa, Chordata, Mammalia, Primates, Cebidae. The record is from RefSeq and is a predicted model, not a curated record.